Molecule: ribosomal RNA, 106 nt
Filed under: Erinaceus europaeus (western European hedgehog)
Lineage: Eukaryota; Metazoa; Chordata; Mammalia; Eulipotyphla; Erinaceidae
Source: RNAcentral
GUCUACGGCCAUACCACCCUGAACACACCCCAUCUCAUCUGAUCUCGGAAGCUAAGCAGGGUUGGGCCUGGUUAGUACUUGGAUGGGAGGACUAGAAAGCUGGAUC